Molecule: transfer RNA, 73 nt
Filed under: Oscillospiraceae bacterium
Lineage: Bacteria; Bacillati; Bacillota; Clostridia; Eubacteriales; Oscillospiraceae
Description: tRNA-Asn
Source: RNAcentral
ACGACUAUAUUUUCGGGAGUAAGCAUGACUGUUAAUCAUGAUGUCGCUGGUUCAAGCCCAGCAGGGGGAGCCA